This 623-nucleotide long non-coding RNA is filed under the name Gallus gallus (chicken). Lineage: Eukaryota; Metazoa; Chordata; Aves; Galliformes; Phasianidae. The record is from RNAcentral.
UUGGUAUUCUGUUCUCAUUUUCCAAAUUCCAACAGAAUUUUAAUGGUCAUCUCAAUUCAAAUGAAAGAACAAUGAGCUGAAAUCACAAUCAUAACAAUAGAUGCCACAGUACUGCAGAACACAUUGGUCUUAAUAAUUUCUGGAUCUUUAUAUUCAUUUCUUGUAAUGAUUGGGGGCAUCCGCAAAUGCAAACUUCAGUCUGUAGGCCUCUGCUAGGAGAACACUGACUUCUUCAUUUCCCCAGUGUGCUGUGGGCAAAUUCUGUAAAAAUAUCAGCAAUUCCUGAAAGUCCUUCUCCUCCAGAAUCUCCUUCCGCCACCUGACAAGGAAUGCGGCACAGACGUACAAGUGGAAGUGAGAAAAACCCUCUGGUUCAGAUUGGUAUGUGUCCCAUAAUCUGAUGGUACACCGUAAAGGGACUUCUCUCAUCAGUAAGUUAUUCAUCCAUCGGAAAGCAAAUUGCAAAUAUUUCACCUCAUGCUGAUCCAAGUGUCUGUGAACUUGUUCAUCAAUCCGACUAACAAGCUCUUCCAACAUUUUCACUUUCUUUUGAAUUCCUGGCUGUGCAAAUGUGUAAUUAUCCUAAAGAAGAGAGCAUAUAUAAAUAUAAGUUUAUGGAAAAC